RNAcentral lists this microRNA precursor (142 nucleotides) under Gossypium arboreum. RNAcentral describes it as "MIR7502 microRNA precursor family". It matches the Rfam family "MIR7502 microRNA precursor family". The record is from Rfam by way of RNAcentral. Lineage: Eukaryota; Viridiplantae; Streptophyta; Magnoliopsida; Malvales; Malvaceae.
UAUUAAAAAUUCCACCCAUUAUUAUUAAUAAAAACUGGCGUAACUGACCAAAUAAGUAAAUAAUUAUAUAUGAUGUGCUAUGUGUACCUGAUUUUGAGGUAUAAAGAUAAUUUUAAAAUAAAAAUAGAUGAAAUUUUUAACA